Molecule: long non-coding RNA, 2938 nt
Filed under: Mus musculus (house mouse)
Lineage: Eukaryota; Metazoa; Chordata; Mammalia; Rodentia; Muridae
Description: long non-coding RNA chr13:108196342-108199280
Source: RNAcentral
UAGAAAACACCAAGUGCUGCUGUCCUUCCCAGAUGUAGCCUGGCACUCUUCAGCCAUGGCUGCAGCAGCUUCCAUGUGAUCUAGGAUGGGCUCUCGCUUUUGAGUAGGGAACCCUGCGGAGGCUCUCUGACUUCGGACACCUCUGCUCUCUCUCUGAGUUCUCAUGUUUAUAUCCUGGGACUUAGAGCCGGACUGUCUGUCGGGCUGUCGGGUGCAGAGCUAGGUUUCUUUCUCUUUCCUAUCAUUCACCUUACUACUAGCUGCUGUCCCCACACACACACACACACACACACACACACUGCAAGUUUAAACUCAUUCAGCUUAUUUCUUGCCUAGCUGUAGAUUUAUCAUCUUUCUACUUUCUUCCUGUAAGUCUGGGCAGUGAGCAGUGACCAUCCUCCAGCCUGUGUGCUCUGCUGGCCUGAAGCUUCCUCCACAAAGCAGUUUAUCCUAAAUUCAACGUCACUCGGAUUAUCAGGACAUGGCUGAUUAUAACACGAGUAGCCUCUAGUUCAGUUCCAGUUUGGGUCCUCCUUCCUCUUGGACUCGAAAGCAUCUCUCUUGGUGGUGUGAUUUUCUGAGCUCCAGCUAAAAUGGCUCAGUAAGUCUACUUACAGCAUUCAGGAUGUUCUUUAAGCCACAACUCUAACUUAAUCUUUCUCCUGCAAAUUAGUCCCAAAGUUUGCAGGACACAUAAUCACAUUUAUCUUAGCAACAACCCUACUCCAUAGCACAAACCUUGCUCUCAGUGCCAGUUUUAUUUUUUUAACAUUUGUUUUUAUUAUUUUUAUGAUAUGUAUCGUAUGGACAUGUGUCGGUGAGUGCAGAGACCCGUGGAGCUCAGCAGUGUCUGAUCCCCUCGGAACUGUAGUUACAGGUAGUUCUGGAUGCUAAGAACCAAACUUGGGGUCUCUAGAAAUACAGUACUGAGACAUUUCUCCAGCGCCAUGUUUUCUGUGUUAGUCUUCACACAGUGACCAAAUAGCUGGCAAGAAAAAAAAUAAAAAUCAAAGCAAAAGGAGGAAGGAUUGAUUGACUUAGUUUAUUAAAGCAACGAACUUAGUUCCGUCAAACCUUGCCAGAAAUGGAAUGGCAGAAGCCUGGCACACAGGGAAUUUUGCCUUUCAGAGAAUAUACCAGGGAAAGCUAACUACAGAAAGAACAACCACCUUGCCUGUCACUGUGUUUAGAUAGGCUGGUUACAGCAGGGCUGGGUUAGAGAGGGACUCAGUACUGGGGAGAAUUAGAUUGCUGCCCUAUAGUUAACAGUUCAGUUGUGAAUGUGGCUUUUCUUUUUGUGUGCAGGGGUUUGGUUUUGGUGUUUUGUUUGUUUUUGAGACAGGCUGACCUUGAGCUUGCUGUGUAUGUAGCCCAGUGUCUUAGUGAGUGUUCUAUUACUGUGAAGCCACACCAAAACCACAGUGACUCUUACAAGGGAAGGCAUUUAAUUGGGGGCUCAGUCCAUUUUCAUGAAGGUGAAGAUCGGGAUGGCACGCAGGGAGACAUGGCACUGGAGAGGUAGCUAAGAGUUGUACGUCUGAGUCUGCAGACAGCAGGAAGAGAGCCUCUAGACUUGGAAUGGGCUUUGGAACCUCAGGGUCUACACCUAAUGACACACUUCCUCCAACAAGGCCACACCUCUUUGUCCUUUCAUAUAGUGCCCCUCUCUGGUGCCCAGUAUACAACUCUGUGAGCCUAUGGAGGCCGUUCUCAUUCAAACCACCACACUCAGUCUGGAUUCCAGCUCCGGAUCCUGCAGCCUUAGCUUCCCCGGUGCUGGGAUGGCAGACAUGGGCCUCCACAAUGCCUAGUCUUUUUUUUUUUUUUUUUUUUUUUUGCAAAGAACAUGUGAGUUUCUUCUUUGCUACCUUGAGUGGCUGUUAAAUCUCCUUGACUUCUAGAAUUCUAACAAGUCAUGUAAAGAGACAUUUUUUGAGAUAAAAAUCUCAUGCAACCCAGGUUAUCCUCCAAUUUCUUUUAUGGCCCAGAAUGACCUGGAACUCUGGAUGCUGCCAAUCUGUGGAACCACAGGCACGAGCCAUCACACCUAGUGUGUGUUGCUGAGAUCAGACUUCUUGUAAGCGAGGCAAGCGCUCUCCCAGCUAAGCUGUAAUCUACUCCCUGCAAUAUAAACAUAACCUGUCUCUAUAGUUGUGUCUGAAAUAGUUUCAGAUACAGGCAACUCGGUUCCUUUCUUGCUGUGUAUUUCUAAUCAGAUAACUGACAACUGAAAACAGAGGAAAAGAAGGUGAGCUGUUGUGAUCUCUAUCAGCGUUCUCUGUGUCAGAAUCAGCAAGCCAAUGGCCCGCACUCUCUUGCUACUCAUGAAAACUCCUGUAGCUUUUGCACUAAUGUAUACAUAGAGCUCUCCUGGUUCGUGCUCCUGCGGGUGAAGAGGGUCCCGCAACCCUAAUUAGAUCUGUUCUUUGGUCAUGGCAUCAGUUGCAUCAGUGUGACACUGGGUUCCUCCAGCUUGUGUUUUGGUUCUGUGUGUCUGUCAGGGUUUAUUAUGUAAACUUUGCAGAACUGGAGAGUGAAUGGCCCUAGGCUUGAUUGGUGGUUUAGUUUCCUUGCCUCUGGUGGUCAGCUCUGGAAAGCAAGUGACUCAAUGAUUUAUACACACCACUUCUCUUUGGUUUGUAUUAUUCUUUGUGGCUUCGGUGAGCAACAACCUUAACCUAGGGCCUGUUGACAUCUUGGGCAAAGGGCAGCAGCCUGUGACUCAGGCUCUAGCUCCUCAGAAUCCCACCCUGUCACAUGAUGCUCCAUCAACACUGCUCUGUACACCAAUAAUUUCUAAAUAAAUACAUCACGCAAAGCUGUGCUUAAAGAAUAUCUAAUGAAUCUGGGAAUUGACUUAACCAUUUUUAUCAAUAUUAUAGGGCUGCUAUGUUUUCCUAUAUGUGCAAGGUUAUUUUAAAAAAAUAAAACAUUUUUC